CCUACGGGGAGCAGCAGUGAGGAAUAUUGGUCAAUGGACGAGAGUCUGAACCAGCCAAGUAGCGUGAAGGAUGACUGCCCUAUGGGUUGUAAACUUCUUUUAUAUGGGAAUAAAACGUUCCACGUGUGGGAUUUUGUAUGUACCAUAUGAAUAAGGAUCGGCUAAAUCCGGGCCAGCAGCCGCGGUAAUACGGAGGAUCCGAGCGUUAUCCGGAUUUAUUGGGUUUAAAGGGAGCGUAGGUGGAUUGUUAAGUAAGUUGUGAAAGUUUGCGGCUCAACCGUAAAAUUGCAGUUGAAACUGGCAGUCUUGAGUACAGUAGAGGUGGGCGGAAUUCGUGGUGUAGCGGUGAAAUGCUUAGAUAUCACGAAGAACUCCGAUUGCGAAGGCAGUUCACUGGACUGCAACUGACACUGAGGCUCGAAAGUGUGGGUAUCAAACAGGAUUAGAUACCCUUGUAGUC
RNAcentral lists this ribosomal RNA (460 nucleotides) under uncultured bacterium. RNAcentral describes it as "partial 16S ribosomal RNA". It matches the Rfam family "Bacterial small subunit ribosomal RNA", at positions 338 to 795 of the family's 1533-position model. The record is from RNAcentral.